This 1676-nucleotide long non-coding RNA is filed under the name Sus scrofa (pig). Its description in RNAcentral is "lncRNA (ENSSSCG00040056005.1)". Lineage: Eukaryota; Metazoa; Chordata; Mammalia; Artiodactyla; Suidae. The record is from RNAcentral.
GCCCUUUGACUGUGCCGGGCAUUAACCAUUUAGCUGCUGGAUUAUGGAGAGGUCUGAGAAAUCCUGGGGAAGGAUCGGGGGCUGUGAAGGAAGCAGUUAGGGGACCAGUGCCUAUUAACCGGUGUGUUCUGCAGUAUUUUCACAAUCCUUAAAGCCACAUAGGUGCAUACCUUCUGGUUGUUGGUUCUGCUUGUCCGUUUAAUCCCUGGGAACCAACGUCAGCACUGGCUUAAUCCCUUCUCUUCUUUUUAGGGCUUUUACCACAAGGAUCCAAGCCUUCUCAGGCUGGCAAAGGAGCCGCUGGCAAGUGCAGAACCUGGGUCGCUGGGCUUAGCCGCUGGCGGGCAUCCCCAGAGAACUGGGGAGGUGGGAUGCCCUUCUUUCCACCAGAGGGAUGGAGAGACAGGAGUCAGCAGGCAUCAGAAUCUUUGCCCCCUUCUCCUGGGUCAUCCAGUGGACAGCCCAGCCGCCAAGCGCCCGCCGGAUCCCUUCCCAGGCAGCGUGGGGCAGGGGGCCAGAGGCUGGCAGGAGGGGCUGGACUCGUCAUUUGGGAAUGAGGCGGAGGCAAAACAGCAUGAUGACUCCACAGGUAAGGGAGCAGGGGAGGGGCUGCAGGCGCCCAGCCCGUGAGGGUUUGGGGUUGGGGCUUUUGCAGAAGGGGGGGGGGUGUCAGUAGGUCCUUUACAAGUGGGUCACACCCAGCUAUCUGAUUGCCCACCUGGAUGGAAUAGCUCUCUGGAAGUUCCUUAGCAUCUAUAGGCCAGAGCCUUCCAGCAAGUGACUUCUCUUCUCAUCUGCCUCCUCCCAAGCCAUGGCGUGUUGGUAAUGGUAUAAUGACAGUGUCCAGUGUGUGGAUUCUGGAGUCAGAGUGCCUGGGUCCUGACUUUGCUGAUGUGGUGCUGUGUGACCUUGGGCUAGUUACUUCACCUCUCUGGGCUACAGUUUAUUCAUCUACAAAGUGGGGAUAAAGACAGCACCUGCCUCAAAGAGAUGGCGGCCAAGAUGCAAUGAUAUCACUCACCUUUGGCGCCCUUAGUAAGGACUCAGUGAACAGUCACCUUUGUGAUUAUUUGUGCCACAAAUCCCCUGUCUGGGGGAGGGGGGACUGCUUCUCCUGAAGGACCUCAGGAACGAACAGCAAUUCGCUGGGCUGACUGGACCAUGGAAACUCAGUUUGGACUCUGCCAGUGUUAGGACUUGGGCAUGUCCUGGACCUCUGUCACGCUGUGUCCUUCACGGAAGUUUCUGGCACUGCCAGGCCCAGUCUCAGUUCUUCAGGAUCAUCUCAGUUUCUUGGCCUCCUGGAUUGCUGGGCCUGGACCAGGCCCCUUGCUGGCCUUGCCCAGGCACCCCUGCACCUGGCGUGGGUCUGUCUCUGCUCUCCCGGGCCUCUGCCUGCACCGGGAAGCUGUGGGUCCCUCCGCCUUCUUGGGUUACUGCACCUGUGGCCUGUGUUGAAACUCUCCGGCCUUCUCACCUUCCAGUGCCCUCCGUCCAUGUCGGGAUUGUCUCUUCACGCUGUCACUAAGCCAACAGUAUCACUGAGCGCAAAGCAGAGCUAGCCCAAGUCUAUACCAACUGGAUCCUGCGCCCCAGCUGCCCCAACCUGAGGCCCAACAUAGCAGAGUCCUCCUCUCGGCCCGUCAGUCCAUGUCAGGGCAUUAUCAGGCUCCUGU